This 253-nucleotide ribosomal RNA is filed under the name uncultured bacterium. Its description in RNAcentral is "partial 16S ribosomal RNA". It matches the Rfam family "Bacterial small subunit ribosomal RNA", at positions 524 to 776 of the family's 1533-position model. The record is from RNAcentral.
UACGAAGGGGGCUAGCGUUGCUCGGAAUUACUGGGCGUAAAGGGCGCGUAGGCGGGUGUUUAAGUCAGAGGUUAAAUCCCGGGGCUCAACCUCGGAACUGCCUUUGAUACUGGGCACCUAGAGUACGGGAGAGGUGUGUGGAACUCCGAGUGUAGAGGUGAAAUUCGUAGAUAUUCGGAAGAACACCAGUGGCGAAGGCGACACACUGGCCCGUUACUGACGCUGAGGCGCGAAAGCGUGGGGAGCAAACAGG